Molecule: long non-coding RNA, 381 nt
Filed under: Prunus dulcis (almond)
Lineage: Eukaryota; Viridiplantae; Streptophyta; Magnoliopsida; Rosales; Rosaceae
Description: sRNA ncRNA
Source: RNAcentral
AUGGAGCGAUGGAUCAUCAUCAUAUCGUUGAUUUUUGCACUGAUUACCAUGUGUGAGGGUACUAUUUGUGGAAUUAUCAAUGGCUUGGUUCCAAAGUCGGAUGUUCUCGUUCAUUGUAAAUCCAAAGAAGACGAUCUUGGCGUUCACCUAAUUCACUACAAUGCUACCUAUGAGUUUGAAUUCAAGCCCAACAUUUGGGGAACUACACAAUUCUACUGCAGCUUUACGUGGCCAUCCCGAAUUGAAUGGUUCGACAUUUACAAACACCAGAGGGAUGAACUGUUGUAUUGUUUGUGGAUGGUCAAGCCUGACGGUCCAUGUAGGUACAAUCGUGUCCUCAAGAGCUUUGCUGAUUGGUAUAAAUGGAACAACAAAAUUUGA